UGCCGGGUCGUCUAAUGGUAGGACAACGGACUUUGGAUCCGUUUAUCUAGGUCCGAAUCCUAGCCCGGCAGCCU
Molecule: transfer RNA, 74 nt
Filed under: Candidatus Curtissbacteria bacterium RIFOXYC1_FULL_41_36
Lineage: Bacteria; Candidatus Curtissiibacteriota
Also listed under: 1 other name
Description: tRNA-Gln
Rfam family: tRNA
About the family: Transfer RNA (tRNA) molecules are approximately 80 nucleotides in length. Their secondary structure includes four short double-helical elements and three loops (D, anti-codon, and T loops).
Source: RNAcentral